RNAcentral lists this ribosomal RNA (301 nucleotides) under uncultured bacterium. RNAcentral's name for it is "partial 16S ribosomal RNA". It matches the Rfam family "Bacterial small subunit ribosomal RNA", at positions 509 to 807 of the family's 1533-position model. The record is from RNAcentral.
CAGCAGCCGCGGUAAUACGAAGGGUGCAAGCGUUAAUCGGAAUUACUGGGCGUAAAGGGUGCGUAGGCGGUUUCUUAAGUCUGAUGUGAAAGCCCCGAGCUUAACUUGGGAACUGCAUUUGAAACUGGCAAGCUAGAGUCUUGUAGAGGGGGGUAGAAUUCCAGGUGUAGCGGUGAAAUGCGUAGAGAUCUGGAGGAAUACCGGUGGCGAAGGCGGCCCCCUGGACAAAGACUGACGCUCAGGUGCGAAAGCGUGGGGAGCAAACAGGAUUAGAUACCCGGGUAGUCCCUGUCUCUUAUAC